This 257-nucleotide unclassified non-coding RNA is filed under the name Hevea brasiliensis (rubber tree). Lineage: Eukaryota; Viridiplantae; Streptophyta; Magnoliopsida; Malpighiales; Euphorbiaceae. The record is from RNAcentral.
GGUUGGGGGGGUGGAUGGGGGUUGGGCAGGGUGGUGGUGUGUGGUGUGUGUUGGGUUGCGGGUGGGGGGUGUAGGGGAUUUAGGAGAUGGGUCUUCUUUUUUUCGAGGGAAUGAGAUGGGUCAAUUAGUAAUACAAUAAUUGUAUUAGAAAUCUUGAUUAAUUGUAUUGAUCAGUCCUGCUAAAGGGAUUUCCAUGUAUGUUUUAUAUAUUGUUAUAUAAAAGAAAUUUGAAUUUGAGACUUUAUAAUUUUAGAGAU